CUCCCCAAAAAAUAUUUGCCGAUCUCUCUCUGCAGUUGCAAUCAUUUUGGUUUUAGUCCUCACCGGAGGGCGGAGCUCCGAUGAGCCCACACCUGGCACGCUGACGUGUUAAAUGAGUCCUAUGUGGAUUUUUGAAAAAAAAAUUAAUUUAAUAAAAUCCAAAUUUAAAAGUUAAAAACUGUAAAUACCCUUAUGUUUCACCCUAAAAUCCCUAAAUUGGAUCUCAUCUUCUACCUUUCAACAGCUGAAUCUCAUCUCGUUGUGCUUCCUUUAAACACCUGGUUCUUCGUUUUCUUCUUCUUCCUUUCUCCAUGCGUUUUUUUCUUCUUUUCUACAGUGGGUGUUCGUUAAUGAGUACGAACAGGUCCACUACCUCAUUCCCAUGUCGCACAGGAAGAUCUGCAGGUGCAAGGGGUAAGUGUGAAUGUGGUGUCCCUGUUAUCAUGUACAUGUUUGGACUGCACACAACCCAGGUAGAAGGUUUUUUAUUUUUAUUUUUUGAACAGAGGUAGGAGGUUAUUGAGAUGCAGCAACUGGCACGUAAGAAGCUUUGUUGACCCAUAUUUUUGGCAUAUUUAUUGUAUGAGUUUGGUUCCAUUAACCUUGGCAUGUACAUACCUUCUUAAUGUGCAGUUACCACAAAAUUGUGGGUUUUUUUUACUGGAUUGAUGUAUUGGAAGGGAAGAUGAUUCUAGGAGCAUAAACUGUGAGAGCUUGAAUUCUGCCAAUUGUCCCAAUGAUGCUUUGGAAAGAAAAUGCAAUAUGAUUAAGAAGCUGAAGAAGAAGGUUGAUGAAAAGAGAGUCCAGAAGAAUGUGGCAUGAGUGUUUGCUUUGUUUUCUUGGCUAGUGACAAUUGUGUGUUACUUUGUGUGUAGGGCUUAAGUUAAUGUAAUGUAACAUCUCUAUCGUUAUUUAGUUUGGGGACUUAAUGUAAUUUGGUUUGCGGACUCUCUAGUUUGUAUUCUAAGGAUUUGAAAACCAUAUUUAAUGUAACAACUUUGUGCCUUUAUCAAAAGGGUCACAUAUUUUUGCAAAUA
This is a long non-coding RNA of Lotus japonicus, 1037 nucleotides long. RefSeq lists it as uncharacterized. The record is from RefSeq and is a predicted model, not a curated record. The transcript is spliced from 2 exons. NCBI's taxonomy places the organism in Eukaryota, Viridiplantae, Streptophyta, Magnoliopsida, Fabales, Fabaceae.